UACGAAGGGGGCUAGCGUUGUUCGGAAUUACUGGGCGUAAAGCGCACGUAGGCGGAUCUGUAAGUAGGGGGUGAAAUCCCCAGGCUCAACCUGGGAACUGCCUUCUAGACUGCAAGUCUUGAGAUCAGGAGAGGCGAGUGGAAUUCCGAGUGUAGAGGUGAAAUUCGUAGAUAUUCGGAGGAACACCAGUGGCGAAGGCGACUCGCUGGACUGAUACUGACGCUGAGGUGCGAAAGCGUGGGGAGCAAACAGG
Molecule: ribosomal RNA, 253 nt
Filed under: uncultured bacterium
Lineage: Bacteria
Description: partial 16S ribosomal RNA
Rfam family: Bacterial small subunit ribosomal RNA
Source: RNAcentral